AGAGUUUGAUCAUGGCUCAGAAUCAACGCUGGCGGCGUGCCUAACACAUGCAAGUCGAACGAGAAAGUGGAGCAAUCCAUGAGUAAAGUGGCGCACGGGUGAGUAACACGUGACUAACCUACCCUUGAGUGGGGAAUAACUUCGGGAAACCGAGGCUAAUACCGCAUAACACCUACGGGUCAAAGGAGCAAUUCGCUUAAGGAGGGGGUCGCGGCAGAUUAGUUAGUUGGCGGGGUAAUGGCCCACCAAGACGAUGAUCUGUAUCCGGCCUGAGAGGGCGCACGGACACACUGGAACUGAAACACGGUCCAGACUCCUACGGGAGGCAGCAGUGGGGAAUUUUGCGCAAUGGGGGAAACCCUGACGCAGCAACGCCGCGUGGAGGAUGAAGUCUCUUGGGACGUAAACUCCUUUCGAUCGGGACGAUAAUGACGGUACCGGAAGAAGAAGCCCCGGCUAACUUCGUGCCAGCAGCCGCGGUAAUACGAGGGGGGCGAGCGUUGUUCGGAAUUAUUGGGCGUAAAGGGUGCGUAGGCGGUUCGGUAAGUCUUGUGUGAAAUCUUCGGGCUCAACUCGAAGUCUGCACGAGAAACUGCCGGGCUUGAGUGUGGGAGAGGUGAGUGGAACUCCCGGUGUAGCGGUGAAAUGCGUAGAUAUCGGGAGGAACACCUGUGGCGAAAGCGGCUCACUGGACCACAACUGACGCUGAUGCACGAAAGCUAGGGGAGCAAACAGGAUUAGAUACCCCGGUAGUCC
This 756-nucleotide ribosomal RNA is filed under the name uncultured bacterium. RNAcentral describes it as "bacterial SSU rRNA". It matches the Rfam family "Bacterial small subunit ribosomal RNA", at positions 8 to 796 of the family's 1533-position model. The record is from RNAcentral.